UCUUCCAGGUCACCUUGCUCCAGCAAACAGAGGAAAAGAUAUUUAUGUCGCCAUACUCCUGGCUUUUCUUCCUAACAGCUCUCCUACCUAAUAUUUAAGUACAGGCAGGUGCCAUUUAACAGAAUGCUUGCAAGGAGGUGAGGGGAAUAAUCAGCUUUCACCUUGAAACACGGCUCUCAAAAGAGAAAUCAUCACUAUCACAGCCAACAGGGAACGUCUGUGAAGACAGUGGCUGAAAUGUGAAAUGAAGGCGACUGUGCAGGUUCACAGCGAGCAGGCGACGGGCCAGCUAAUGAAUCAACACCACACAUGGAGGAGGCCAGAGGUGUGGAGCAGAAGCGAUACACUGAGGACUCUCGAUUCAACGGGUGAUGAAUUCCUCAAACGACGACCCUGCCCCAUGGUGGACGCGGCGGCCUUGAGAGGAAAACCAUUGCUUGACCUUCGACUAGGUUCCUGAUCCACUGCGGCAGGUUCUGGGUUGUGUAGUGAACCAAUACACUGGAGACAACAAGGCUGUUUUCAACGAGCUCACGUCCCUGAGGAAAUUUUGUUUAUAACAAGGAGAAUGCCGCACAUCUGGGAGAAUACAUCUCUACUAUUCGAAGCAACAGCAUUUGUGGUCAUUUAUUCCAGUAGCUCAAAGAAACAACUACAAUGUGCUACAUAAACAAAGUGCCUGGCUUCUGCUGUGGCUGGUGACCGGACGCUGAUACCGAAUGCUCCUCCUGGGCUACGAGGAAGCUGACAACUAGACAGCGGAAUGUCAAGUCCAUCUGUAAGCACCAGUGAGCCAUCAGCUCACCACCAAGGAGGCCUCCAUGAAUUUCCAGUCCCUGGUGGAAGCAAGCUCUCAUCCAGAACCCUAGAUCUUACCAGAGGCUCCUUGUUUGUGUAUCCUGCAUAUUCUGUGUAAAACAGCUAGGAGGCAAGUACGUAAAACAUCUGUAGCGAACUUCUGCUGCAGGACUCCGGGGUUCUCCCACUGUGCUGUGAGCCUGUAUUAAGGCCUCUUCCUUCCUUUAAUAAACGGCACUCUACUGAGAUGAAUGACCCGCUAUCUUGUCUGUUUUUAAUCCUCAGUCCCUCGCUCAGACAUGGUGAACGGUGGUAGUGCAGGUGCUACAGCCUUGAACUUACU
Molecule: long non-coding RNA, 1141 nt
Organism: Peromyscus leucopus (white-footed mouse)
Lineage: Eukaryota; Metazoa; Chordata; Mammalia; Rodentia; Cricetidae
Exons: 5
Source: RefSeq, a predicted model, not a curated record